GACGAACGCUGGCGGCGUGCUUAACACAUGCAAGUCGAACGGAAAGGCCCUGCUUUUGUGGGGUUCUCGAGUGGCGAACGGGUGAGUAACACGUGAGUAACCUGCCCUUGACUUUGGGAUAACUUCAGGAAACUGGGGCUAAUACCGGAUAGGAGCUCCUGCUGCAUGGUGGGGGUUGGAAAGUUUCGGCUGUUGGGGAUGGACUCGCGGCUUAUCAGCUUGUUGGUGGGGUAGUGGCUUACCAAGGCUUUGACGGGUAGCCGGCCUGAGAGGGUGACCGGCCACAUUGGGACUGAGAUACGGACCAGACUCCUACGGGAGGCAGCAGUGGGGAAUAUUGCACAAUGGGCGGAAGCCUGAUGCAGCAACGCCGCGUGCGGGAUGACGGCCUUCGGGUUGUAAACCGCUUUCGCCUGUGACGAAGCGUGAGUGACGGUAAUGGGUAAAGAAGCACCGGCUAACUACGUG
This 468-nucleotide ribosomal RNA is filed under the name uncultured bacterium. RNAcentral describes it as "partial 16S ribosomal RNA". It matches the Rfam family "Bacterial small subunit ribosomal RNA", at positions 28 to 507 of the family's 1533-position model. The record is from RNAcentral.